This is a non-coding RNA of Phrynosoma platyrhinos (Desert horned lizard), 72 nucleotides long. Lineage: Eukaryota; Metazoa; Chordata; Lepidosauria; Squamata; Phrynosomatidae. The record is from the annotation of a GenBank genome assembly.
GUCAGUAUGGUAUAGUGGUUUGAGUUUUGGACUACAACUCUGGAGACCUGGGUUCGACUCCCUGCUUGGUCA